RNAcentral lists this ribosomal RNA (337 nucleotides) under uncultured bacterium. RNAcentral describes it as "bacterial SSU rRNA". It matches the Rfam family "Bacterial small subunit ribosomal RNA", at positions 8 to 334 of the family's 1533-position model. The record is from RNAcentral.
AGGGUUUGAUUAUGGCUCAGGAUGAACGCUAGCGACAGGCCUAACACAUGCAAGUCGAGGGGCAGCGAAGAGGUAGCAAUACCUUUGUCGGCGACCGGCGCACGGGUGAGUAACACGUAUGCAAUCCACCUGUAACAGGGGGAUAACCCGGAGAAAUCCGGACUAAUACCCCAUAAUAUGGGCGCUCCGCAUGGAGAGCCCAUUAAAGAGAGCAAUUUUGGUUACAGACGAGCAUGCGCUCCAUUAGCCAGUUGGCGGGGUAACGGCCCACCAAAGCGACGAUGGAUAGGGGUUCUGAGAGGAAGGUCCCCCACAUUGGAACUGAGACACGGUCCAA